This 103-nucleotide transfer RNA is filed under the name Mesorhizobium sangaii. RNAcentral describes it as "tRNA-OTHER". Lineage: Bacteria; Pseudomonadati; Pseudomonadota; Alphaproteobacteria; Hyphomicrobiales; Phyllobacteriaceae. The record is from RNAcentral.
GGCGCAUAAAUGGCGCAUAUUCGCCGGAAAGCCUUAUGCUAUAAGGGUUAUCUAAGCCCUUUUAAUCAGUAGGUCAUGGGUUCGAAUCCCAUCGCGCUCACCA